GUUAUCAAGAAAGGUGGAGGGACUAGACCCGUUGAAGCCUUGGCAACCCUCUAAAUUUUAUAUCGGAGUAGGUGCUAAAUUCUACUUUUUUUGUAAAAAGAUAGAUA
Molecule: non-coding RNA, 107 nt
Filed under: marine eukaryotic metagenome
Description: SAM riboswitch (S box leader)
Rfam family: SAM riboswitch aptamer (S box leader)
About the family: The SAM riboswitch is found upstream of a number of genes which code for proteins involved in methionine or cysteine biosynthesis in Gram-positive bacteria. The SAM riboswitch acts at the level of transcription termination control.
Source: RNAcentral